GGCUAUGAGGGCAAUCUGGCUGUGAUGUCCGUCACUCUACUGACCACCAGGGUUGAUUUGGCUGAUCUGGCUGGCUAGGAGGGUGUCCCCUUCCCCCCCUCAACACUCCACAUGUUUCCCUCCCAAAGCUGUGUGCUGGGUCAGCCUCCUCCAAUAGAGGAGUGCUAUUCCUCAGUCAAGGGGAACCUCCAAGUUCUCAAACAUAUCUUAUUGAGCCGGGAUA
Unclassified non-coding RNA from Cavia porcellus (domestic guinea pig), 223 nucleotides. Its record names the gene 7SK. It matches the Rfam family "7SK RNA". Rfam says of the family: 7SK was discovered as an abundant small nuclear RNA in the mid-70s but a possible function has only recently been suggested. Two independent studies have found that 7SK RNA binds the CDK9/cyclin T complex (known as elongation factor P-TEFb). The record is from Ensembl. Lineage: Eukaryota; Metazoa; Chordata; Mammalia; Rodentia; Caviidae.